Molecule: ribosomal RNA, 578 nt
Filed under: Trigonopterus cahyoi
Lineage: Eukaryota; Metazoa; Arthropoda; Insecta; Coleoptera; Curculionidae
Description: SSU rRNA
Rfam family: Eukaryotic small subunit ribosomal RNA
Source: RNAcentral
GUCAUAUGCUUGUCUCAAAGAUUAAGCCAUGCAUGUCUCAGUACAAGCCGAAUUAAGGUGAAACCGCGAAAGGCUCAUUAAAUCAGUUAUGGUUCCUUAGAUCGUACCCACAAUUACUNGGAUAACUGUGGUAAUUCUAGAGCUAAUACAUGCAAACAGAGCUCCGACCGGAGACGGAAGGAGUGCUUUUAUUAGAUCAAAACCAAUCGGUGGCGGGUUCGCUCGUUAUCGUACAACUUGGUGACUCUGAAUAACUUUAGGCUGAUCGCACGGUCAUCGCACCGGCGACGCAUCUUUCAAAUGUCUGCCUUAUCAACUGUCGAUGGUAGGUUCUGCGCCUACCAUGGUUGUAACGGGUAACGGGGAAUCAGGGUUCGAUUCCGGAGAGGGAGCCUGAGAAACGGCUACCACAUCCAAGGAAGGCAGCAGGCGCGCAAAUUACCCACUCCCGGCACGGGGAGGUAGUGACGAAAAAUAACGAUACGGGACUCAUCCGAGGCCCCGUAAUCGGAAUGAGUACACUCUAAACCCUUUAACGAGGAUCAAUUGGAGGGCAAGUCUGGUGCCAGCAGCCGCGG